RNAcentral lists this long non-coding RNA (12447 nucleotides) under Gallus gallus (chicken). RNAcentral's name for it is "lncRNA (ENSGALG00010010309.1)". Lineage: Eukaryota; Metazoa; Chordata; Aves; Galliformes; Phasianidae. The record is from RNAcentral.
UUCUCUCCUGCCUGCAAAUAUGGCAUCAGGAAACAUAAACACCUACAAGAUAAAAGCAAAACCUAAUCCUAGAAAAACAAGCCUGACUAUUUACUCACCCAGAUCUAACUCUGGACUAGACCCAUGCAACUCACACCAGAGCCUACCAGCAGCUACUGCUGGUCAUGCUGCUAUGAGAACUGCCUUCACAGAGAGCCUAAAAAUCAGGCAGGAAAUCAGAUACAAAGAAGAACAUGGGGUAACAAGACAGUGACACUUUCCUGUAAGAAGACCAUAAAUCUUUAUACAAGGGGGCGGACUGGAGAACGUCAGGGGUUUCCAUGUGUGAGUGUUUAAAAUAAAACCUUAUUCAUGCUGGAGUGGGGAAGAAAAGAACUGGCAAGCUGGGAACACAAAAAGAGAAAAGGAGGAACCUUAAAAUAUGAGGAUUGACUGGGUCUUGAGCUCUGAAGGUGAGACUUGUGCAAUGAAUUCCCUUCACCACUCUUAGGAGUAGAGUUCACACAGUUAUCUGACACCACGCAACAUCCUCUCUUCUGCUGUAUGACUUAUCUGUCAGAUCCCAGUUUGCCUGAGGACAAGUAGGACAGAGGCUGUAGCACAGGGAUGAAACCUGGAAACAGCUCCUUCUGUGUGGGUCCCCGUCAUCCUUCUCUGCCAGACUACUUAGGCACAUGCCAAAUGUUACACCUACUUUGGGUCUUUCACACUCUUAGACUGGAUAAAUUUCAGAAGUCAGAAUGAACAUUAUGGAGAGUAGGUAGAUCCUCCCACACAAAUCGUCUGAUGGAGAAGAGAAUGGUGUCUUCUGCUUUCAGAGAAAGCAGCUGGAAUCAAGCCCAGAAAUUUUUUUGCAGCUACUAUAACUCAGCCACCCUGCACACAAACCUUUAGGCAUAAAAAUGAUACAGUAUUAAAAUGAAAGGGGUACAGCAAUUUCAGUUAAAAUUGCACUGGGUAUCAUAAUUUCACAUUUCUUAGCUAUGUGUGUGCUUCAGCUCUCAGCUAGAAUGUGCUAAUUGUAACUUUCCACAAUGAUGUUAAAAAGGAUUAAGCAAAACGGUAAUACAUACUAUCCUUCUCUCCAAAAGUGAGAACUGUAGUCCAGCUUUGGAACAGUCUGUGCUUCCCACUGGCUUUGUUGAGAAUUUUCUUUUGGAUUGAUGGGCAGUAUGCAGUUCUCAGAGCUUUCAGCUGGCCACUCCGACAGGUGUUGUGGUAUCACUGUUUCUUUAAUUCUUAUGUUCCCUGUUGCACUGCCAUAUCCAAGUGGACGUAUUUCAGUGGUGAGCAGGCAGAUUUGAAUAACAUCCUCGUGGACAGCAGGUUGACUCAGCAGUGUGCUCUUGUGGCCAGGGGGGCCAAUGGUAUCCUGGGGUGCAUUACAAAGUUUGCAGCCAGCAGGUUGAGGGAGGUUCUCCUCCCCCAUUCCUCUGCCCUGGAAGACCACAUUUGGAUCACUGUGUCCAGGUCUGGGCUCCUCAGUUCAAGAAAUACAGGGAACAUCUAGAGAGUCCAGUGGAUGCCCUGGAGGGCUUCCUUAUGGGGAAGGCUGAGAGACCUAAGGCUGUUCAGCCUGGAGAAAACUGAAAGGGAAUCUUAUGUAUACUUACAAGUAUCUAACAGGCUGGAGACAACUGAGUGGGGCCAGGUUCUUUUCAGUGGCACCCAGAAACAGGACAAGGGGCAAUGCACACAAACUGGAACAUAAAAAAUCUUUAUUUUAAGGGUAACAGAGCACUGGAACAGGCUGCCCAGAGAGGUGGCAGUCUCCUUCUCUGGAGAUAUUCAAAAUCUGUCUGGAUGCUUUCCUGCGUAGGGAACCUUCUUUAGCAGGGGGUUGAACAAGAUGAUCUCCAGAGGUCCUUUCCAACCCCUACAAUCCUCUAAUCCUGUGAUCCUCUGAAUAAAAAGUAGGCUAAGCUCGCCAUUGCUCUGUACUUUUUUGUAACUGGCUGUUGUCCUGCAAGGGGGGUAUGGAAAGCUGCCAAAUCCUAGUGGUUGCCUUUCACGCUUCUAUUGUACAGGUUAUUUCAGUAGUUACUGAAUAGUAAAGGCAAUGAAGCUAUCAGACACAUAUAUCAACUUACAAUUGCAUGUGUACUUUCAGAACCAGUUUAACAACAGCUUCUGUUUAUGCAUUUGUUGAAGGGUUCAGACUUACACACUGAAAGAAAAGGAAAUGCAGAACAGGCACCUGCAUUUGUUGUUACAAGUCACUGUGAUCCUGUUCACCACAGUGAUGCUACGUAAAUUUUUACAGAGCCUGUCCAGGAGCUGGUGGCUGGCAGAAUAGUAAGAAAUGGUUAUAUUGGGGCUAUCUAACAAACAGUGCUUUAGAGACAAAAGGCAAAAGGGCAGAGAAUCUUUAUGAAGGUGCUUCAUCAGCACUAUAUCAGUCUAUUGCUAUCUACAACCUGGGUGCCAGAAUGUUCUUAGUAAGCAUAUUUUUGCCUUUUUAGGGUGGUCAAAGAUCAUUUGCUCCUUAUGGUAACUUACUGAAAGAAAUCUAGAAGCACAGAAUACUAAAUUAUCAGAAUAGUAAAAAGUUAUGUAUUAUUUACAAGCACAGUGUGAGCUGUCAGGUCAGUUAAAUCAAUUAUUCACCAUUUGUUCAAUUUAGCUUUGUAUAAAUCUUCAUUUUCUCACUCAGCAAAUUCCAAAUUUACUACAAAGCCUUCUGCCAUGUCUGUAACGAGAACAGACUGAAAAGUAUAAAAAGGCAGACAGCUUACUAAAUUUAUAAGCAAUUGCUCAAAAAAUAAUGAUCAAUGUCUAUACUUUAUCUGGAGUAUGAUUUUUGAGCAUAAAUCAUACAUGAUAUAAAUAUAUAUACAUAUAAAAUUUACAUUUCAAGAUAGAAGGAUUCAAUUGUAUCCAAUUUUUGACUGUUAGGAAAAGUAAAAGAUUGAGACAUUUCUGUAAGAAAUUGAGUGACUGAGGAGGAAUGAGCAGAUUUAAGACCAGAAAGUACCAUUACAAUCUAUGACUGCUUGGAUCACAUGCAGCAUAAAACUUCAAACAGAAACAAUUGCAACAAAUCCAUGACUUCUGAUUGAACUAGACCAUUUGGAAGAGAUCCCUAAUUUGGCCAUACCUCGAUGUUUCAUAUCGAUGGAAGUACAUAUGUAGACCAAGGUCAAAAAUGAAAUAAAUGCUUAAUUGUGUGACUAGACAGCCAGCAAGCUAGAUUGAAAAUCUUAUCUCUUCCAUGAUGUACAAACUGAAAUGCAUUGCUAAGAAAAGUUUUUGGUAUUAGAGACUUAAGUGCAGCAUUGUUCAGGAAGCAUGGAAACUGUGAUCUUACCUACAUCAGCUAUAGGCACCUUGGCCUUGCCCAAGAAAAAGCCCUCAGCUAAGAAGUCAAGAACAAUCUCUUUUCUUCUCACACCUGGCCUUUCUUGACUGGGACUAUGUCACUGGAUUAGGAAAAAGAAACGUAUGCAUGAAAACAACUGAUUUAUUUGUUUAUUGAUUAAAAAUGAUCUUUCAUUAGCUGCACAAUGGGAGCCAGCCAUAUAUAACUUUAGAGUGUCCCACUUGUGAAGCAAAAUGAGUUGGCUCAAACUACGUGAAACUUGUCAGCUUUUUUUUUUUUCCCCAUUGCAGUGGGCAUUACCUAAUUGCUUUCUGUAGUAAUCAUUGUUUUAUUCACUGAAAUGUUAAUAAUGAAGCCUCUGGUGUAGCAAGUGAGAAUUUUCUCUCUAUACUUCUCUCCUGGUGCAUGCAAUUCAGUUAUAAGAAAAUAGUAAAUCAUACCAUCAUUUUACUUUCCAUGUCCAAAAUUUGAGGUGAACAGAAUUGAAGGUCCAGAUUCUGCAUUUUAUUUAACAUAGUGUAGGAUGCAGCUCUACCCCUAGCUCCUUCAGAAAAGCAUUUCCAGUUCUAUGCACAUUGAAUUAAGCUUACAUAGCAAAGAUGUCUUCACUGAGCCCAGCUGUCCUCAUGAACUGCCCUUGUCACUGUGUACUUUGAAGGUGAGUUGUAUUACUAGGAGUAGAAAUUGGAAGUGUGAUGGAAUUGAGCAGAAUAAUUAUAAUACGUGGGAGAUAUCUCCUGAACAGGGGGAAGUAUGGAUGGAAUCUGCGAGGCCUGAAUUCUAGCAUUUCACUCAUAUUUCAUUCUGAUAAAUCCAGUGGGUUAGAAAUAAAAAAAGAAAUAAGGCAAUCUAUGCAAUCUCCAGGGUUGCCAAGUAAAGGUAGCAUGAGUUCAUAUGAAGGAUGGAUAUACAUUUUCACAGUCCUUUCAUUUCUGACUAUCAUAAUUACUAUUGGUCUUCAAGGCAUCUUACCAUACAGAAUGAUAUUUUUUGAAGCAAGGGUGAUAUUGUUUCUCUGUACCGAAGUGUUAAGGGUUACCUAAAUAGAAGAGAGAGCUGUUCAGUCUGUCUGUAUCGAAUAGGUAGAUAGUGGAAUAGGUGAGAAAUAGGCUGGUUACUUUUAAGAAAAUUUGAGCAUAGGAGAAGAUUUAUGUGCUCCACAGCAAAAGAAUGGCUGGAGGUAAGUUGCAAAUUCCUGCACAUCCAGGGAUUUGUGAGACUGUCCUUGUAGUUGACUGGACCAAACUACAUCAAAUGAGACAAACAGUUCACUACUACAGAGCAGCCUGCUUUCAGUGUCACAGUUAUCAUCUUCCUGUGUGACGGACUGAGACACAAAUAACCAGUGCAAAUUACAUAUAGGCAUUUGGAAAAUACAGAUUAUUACAUAAUAGAUUGAGAGGGAAUGGUCACAAGUUGCAGCAGGGGAGGUUCAUGUUGGAUAUCAUGAAAAGCUUCUUGUCCAAAAGAGUGGUGAUGGAUUGGAAGAGGCUCCACAGAGAGGUGGUGGAGUCACUAAACCUGUAGGUGUUCACAAAAUGUGAAGAUGGGGCACUGAGGGACACAGUGACAAUAUUGGUGGUAGGUGGAGAGGUGGACUAUAUGGCCUCUUCCAGUCUUAAUGAUUCUGUGACUCUGUGUAAGUCCUGGACCUUUAAUUUCAAAGAAUGGUCUGGAGAGAUCUUUCAGAAUAAGUGUUGAAUAUUCAAAAUUAAUUGGAGCCCUUAUAUUUCCUAGAGGAGCUUGGUAUGGACAGAGGAUUUUAACUUAAAGCAUCACUUGUGUUCUAUAUCUUAUAAGGCUCUUAUUCCCAUUUCAGCAAUCUGUUUUUUUCUGUUCCUUUUGUUCCCUCAUCAACUGGACCAGAACACUAUCUCUAGGAAGAGUCUGCUCAGUUGCUUGAAGCAUGUACAUCCGUGUAGCCAAGGGAGAAACUGACCAAUAGCCUCAAUGGUGAUUAGAAGACAAUUGGUCCCUCAAACUUGUCUUCCAAAGUGAGAGCACCUGGCAGCUUCUGGCAGCUUUCUGUUCCUUCUCUGAAACAAUACAUGCCAUGAUGGUGGGAAAACGGGAUUCCAGCACAGCGCUUCUCAGAAAUAACAUGAUUGUGACUUCUUUAGUUCAAAGGUCUGAAGCAAUAUGGAAAAGAUGACCUACAUAAUGACCAAACCAAAACUUUGUCACUCUACAGUGGUUCCUCAAAUCCUGCUUUGACAUCAAGCAGCUUCAAUGCAGGUACCAAGAAGGGAGCAGAGAGGAAAGGAUAAUUGGGUCCGUGCUCCCAUUUGAAAGGGAGCUUAUGUUUUCCUGCAACUUUGAUGGAGAUUAAAUAUGUCUUGGCUACUUGGCUCUGACCACAUGAAAUACAGCAUCUAGAGAGACUUUGUGAGCAAGGGCUUGACAGGCAGACAUUUAAGAUCGUUGGUCAUCUUUGCAUCUUUUAAAGUAGAAGCGAUAUCUCAGUAAGGGAUGAUUUUACACUAUUAAAAAAAAUAAUUAAAAAAAAAAAGGAAAGGAAAGAAAAGGAAAGAAAAGAAAAGAAAAGGAAAGAAAAGGAAAGAAAAGAAAAGAAAAAAGAAAAGAAAAGAAAAGAAAAGAAAAGAAAAGAAAAGAAAAGAAAAGAAAAGAAAAGAAAAGAAAAGAAAAGAAAAGAAAAGAAAAGAAAAGAAAAGAAAAGAAAAGAAAAGAAAAGAAAAGAAAAGAAAAGAAAAGAAAAGAAAAGAAAAGAAAAGAAAAGAAAAGAAAGAAAAGAAAAGAAAAGAAAGAAAAGAAAAGAAAAAAAAGAAGAGUUAUAACAGAAGUAAAAGAUACAGCCCCAAGCCCUGAAUCAUCAGGAAAACCAAACAAACUAGACUUUCACUGUUUGUGGUCACUGCUGAACACUUACAGUACAGUGUAGGAAAUGGACCACUCUCUAAUAUAAUGUGUUGCCCCAAGACACAGAAUGCUGCUAAAUAUCCUGGACAUUCUUUCUCACUCUGAGCUCUCUACGGUCUCUAUUAAGGCAAGCUCAUUCUGUGGAGAAUGAGAUAUUUUUCCAUGAACCACCUCUCUUCUCUAAAGGAUCUUCUCAGGGCAACUGCUAAAUUGUCCUGCGAGGCUGAAUAUGCUCUGAUGUCAGAGCAUACCAGCUGAAGUGUUCAGCAACGUAAAAUAAGCUGGAGAUGCUAUACAAGAAGAGUAUGUUGGUACUAAUUUUUUCCAAGUAAACCCAUUCAGGAUAAAAAUAACUUCCUUUUCUCUCUCUCUCUCUUUUUUUUUUUUUUAAUAAUGUCAUAUUGCAUCAGCAGACUUACACAACACGUUAAAAAUCCCAGAGAAACAAUAUAUCAUACAUGAAGAGCUUCCUACCUAUUAGAUUCAUGCAGCAAAUGAAAUUCUAUGCAACUUCUUCCAGGAAAAUAGCUUGCGUACUCUGAAGCUAUAUCUAGGAUUUUUACAAACUGUUCUGCAUGAUUCACUCAGUGCUCGGUAGAUUAGAUGUUAUUGAAUUCACAUGAGUUCAUGUUAAAUAAAGUGAAACACAACAUCUGGGGCUACUCAUCACUCAAAGAUAUGACAUCCAUUGCCAAACACAAGAGUGAUUCAGUAAUGUUGUAAUUACCAAACUGGGUCAGUGGUGAAAUAGAAAGUGGGGACUGUUAUAACACCAAGUCCUUAGAUUAUCUGUGAUCAGAAGAAACAAACAAUCAGAGUUUGUGAUAUAUGGCAAGCACCAAUGAUCCCGGACUGUGCACAAGACUGGCAUUUCAUCCUGUAAAAUUUAAUUGUACAGAAAAAUGUAAGAUGGAACAGCCUUGUCCUACCUGUUACAGUGGACUGAAUGGCCUAUGCUGAAAGUGCCACUGAAAUUCAACACACACUGGGGAGACAAAGGAAACUGUGAGCACUAUAUCUGCUUCUUAUUUCUGACUCUAGUUUAAACUUCCAGUGAGUUCUUCCCAAAUGGCUGUUCAGAACUCUGUGUCUGUUCUGUGUUUUGCCAGGGCCAGGCAAAGGAACAGAAGCAAAGGAAAUGAACUAAAAAAAAACAAACAAGUAAAAAGCAAUCAUAUGUCAACUAAGACCCAGAAUAUGAGAUCAGUGUUUACUAAGCACAACUAGAACAAAGUAGAUAUCACACUAAGGGACAUGAUUUAGUGGACAUGGUGGCAAUAGGUUGAUGGUUGGACUGGAUGAUCUUAGUGGUCUUUCCAACCUCAAUGAUUCUGGCAUUCUAUGGAAAGUUGGGAGACUGCAGAUCCAGAUAAUUCAAGGCUGUGUUAUUCAUGGUAUGAUAGCCUGCACGUCAAAGGUCAAUCUCAAGCCUAUGCACCAUGCAAACUAGAAAUGCUGAUGUGCAUGAAGAGGAGACAGGGCUAUGUGACUAACGUGGUUUGGCUUAUUUAGACUUUCCUAGCCUGCAGGACCAGAAGCAGUUGGGGAGAAGAGAGUGGUCUUUGGCACGCAUCUACUACCAGACUCAAACUCAGAGUUUCCAUUCCAUAGGAAAACACCUCCACUGCUCAGUGCCCCACCCCCGGCAUGUGCAUACUCAUUCUUUGUUUUGAUAAGCAAAUCAGUGAGUGCUUUAAUGUACUAUACCUGGGGGAAUUUAACUCAGAAUUCUGUGCUCAGGUUCCAAGAGGAUGUAGUUAUUUUUUACACCAGUAAUUUGUGUUUUGUUCCUUUUCCAAAUAGGACAAAAAAAGUUAGAGGGUGGUUUUUUCCCUGGUUUCACUCCUAAAUCGCCAUUUAUACCCUGACAUCAGCUGACAUCAGUGGAAAUGUCAAAAAAUCUUCCUUUUGCAAGAUUUCAGAAACAAUGCAGAUAUAGAGAAAAUAAAAAUAAGGAGGGAGGAGGGCGGAUGCCCCGGCGGUCUCUCGGCGGGGACAUGCUGCCAUCCAGCGGCUGCGGCCACGCGGCCCCGAGGAUGUGGAUGUCCCGGAGCACCGCGCCCCGCGCUGCCCCCUGGGGGCGGAGGAUGCUUCGAGGAGUGGUGUUGGGGUCCGACGCCCCCGGCUGAUCCAGCCCCCCUGCCCCACUGCUCUUGUAGCCCUUCAGCAAAAAUGUUCAUGGAAGAGAGAGUUUUUUUUUCCAGAGUGCCUGUGAAUGAAGAUAUGGUCCCUGCUCAGAAAAUCUGACCCAAAUACUCUUCUCCUAAAUGGCACAACUACUGUGAAAGCCAAUUACUGCACCGUGGGUUCUUCAGAUCCGUAGCUUCUCAAAAUUAAUAUAAGUGCUGGAAAAGAUACCGGAAAAAAGAUCAGUUAUGGAUAAUCUGAGUCUUGAUGUGCUUCCCUGGGAUUUACAGUUAACCUCUGAUCCAAUUAAAGGCUGUGGAGGGACUAUACACAAAAGUAGUGCUGUAGUUCCUUUCCCUUGUAUUUUACAUCCCCAAUGAAUAUUCUGUAUCUACAGGCACCACAAAUGACAAUUCAGAGAGUCAGUUAGAAGUCUCAGCAAAAUUCCUGGUGUCUUGGCACAGGACCUCCUAAUGGGGGUCAUUCAGAGGGAAACCUGCUGAGGGUGACUGGGAAGAAGGAGUCAUUGCCUCUGAGGGAGCCUUCUGUCCACAUCUCAGGACUUGUGACACUGCUUCAGAAAGAAAGCUUAAGUUGUUAGAGCAGAGAAAAUCUUCAUUACGGUACCCCACCCUCAGGCAUGUGAAAGACAAGCAGCUCAGCACCUUCCAGAGUCAGGCCCAUAAAGAUGAGAGGCUCUGGAACUUGAGGGACAGGUAAGUGAGGAUGUGGUGGAAGGUCCACCCAGGAGGUUAUCUAGGGCAAGGAGGCUGACUCCACAUCCCAAGACUGCAUCUGACAAGAAGACAAUCACUGUGGGCAACUCCCUUCUGAGAGGAACGGACAGCCCCAUAUACUGGCCAGACCUUACUCAUAGGGAAGUGUACUGCCUCCCUGGGUGAGGGUCAGGGAUGUUACUAGAAGGCUCCCUAGUAUGGUUCACCCUCUGUUUAUUAUCCCUUAUUGGUACUUCAGGCUGGCAGUGAUGAAGUCACUGAGAGAAGCUUGAGAGCUAUCAAAAGGAACUUCAGGUGGCUGGGGCAGUUUGUGGACAGAGAGGAAGUACAGUUGGUUUUUCUCUGUCCCUUCAGUGGCAGGGAGGAACACUGAGAGGACCAGGAAAUCCCAUCUGAUAAAUACAUGGCUGAGAGGCUGGUGCUGCUGUAGGAAUUUUGGCUUUUUUGAUCAUAGGGCCGUUUACUCAGCACCUGGCUACAAAUGAGGUCCACCUAGGUCAAUGGGGGAAAGGAAUUCUGGCCCAGGAGCUGUUUGGGCUUGUUGACAGGGCUUUAAACUAGGUUUGAAGGGGGAAGGGAGUGAUACCGAGCCUGCCCAUGACAAGGUGUGGGAUAGCAUAUCUAAGUUAAAGGGACAAGAUGCUAGUAGGGGCCCUCAAUCUGUUGCAUUUUAUAAUGAAUAUACUAGGCAUCGAGCUGUCAGGGCUCAUCACCAUGGCUUUAAAAUAGAUUUGAUGGUGGAAGAGGAUGUAGUGCCAAGGAACAAAGAGUCAGGGAACAUUGUCACUUUAAGAAGCAGAGGAGAAAACCUCAGAUUUGUCCCAGGGGUUUUUGGGAGGGCUCCUCCAAGAAGAUAAUGUGGCCAAAAGCCCAACUGAAGUGCCUCUAUGCCAAUGCACGCAGAAUGGGAAAUAAGCAGGAGGAAUUGGAAACUGUGACGUAAUUGGAAAACUAUGAUCUUACUGCUAUCACAGAAACAUGGUGGGAUGACUCACAUCUGAAACACUGAAACACCAUGAUUGAGGGUUAUAGGCUUUUUAGAAGGGAUAGGCAAGAUAGGAGAGGUGGGGAAGUUGCUCUGUAUAUUAAGAAGUAGAUAGACUGCAAAAAGCUGCCGCUGGGAAACAGUUAUGAAGAGGCUGAGAGCUUGUGAGUUAAAAAAAUUAGGGACUGGACCAAUAAAGGGCAUCUGGUGAUGGGGUCUACUCCAAGCUACCUGAUAAAGUGAGGCUGUUGACAAGGCCUUCUUACUUCAGCUGCAAGAGACAUUGCGCUCACAGGCUUUCAUCCUAAUGAAGGAUUUCAACCGCUCAGAUAUCUGCUGGGAAAACAACAGGGCAGCCUGCAAGCAGUCCUGGAAACUCCUGAAGUCCACUGAUGACAAUUUUCUGGUUCACAUAUUGGACAGACACAGCAGAGGUGAAGCACUUCUGGACCUGGUGCUCACCAACGCAGAAGAGAUCAUAAAAGAAGUUACAAUCAGAGGCAGCCUGAGCUGCAGCAACUAUGCCCUGGUUGAGUUUGUGAUCUCAAGGAAUGUGGAAGCAGUGAUGGGUGGCCUGGGAAAAUAUAGGGAUGCUGUCUGGAUGUGCAAGGAUGGAGUCUGGAAAACUGAGGCGCAAAUGGAAUUGGAUUUGGUCAGGGAUGUGAAAAACAACAAGGGAUGCAAACAAGACAAAAUAGAGGGGUCAGCGUUCUGCACAGUGACUCACUCCAGUGCUAUUACAGAAAAGGAUGUUUUAAUGUGCUGCUUCCCAUCCAAACUUCAUGAAAUGGGAAGCCUCCCAGAACUCUUCCAGAAGCCCAGCUGGAACUCCCCACUAUGAAAAACACUUCAACGUGAAUUAGAAAGUUUGCAAGAAAACCAUUACAAAACAGUACCAUCCUUGGCUAUACUAUGCGGUACUUCCCACAUAUUAGGAUCUCCAAAGAAUGUCAUUUUUGCCUUGAAAAAGUAUCCCAAGCUAUUCCCAUCUGCAAGGACAAUCUCUUUACUCCACUCUCAGAAUUUCUGAUGUCCCAGCUAUACCAGAGAUUACACCACGGACAUUGUGACAAGUUAAAAACCUGAAGUACUACGUCAUCUGAUGGUACAUGAGUGCUUCCUCCUGUGCCUGACUUUACUUUGGACCUGGGAACAAGAGCUAAGACAAAGCAUGGAUUUUCUGUCUGAGUGUUUGCAGACGCUUCUAUUACAUGAUCACAUUAUAGCGCUGUUGAAAACUGCUGUCAGCCCGUUAAAUAACACCGGACAGGUACUUAGGAUCUUCCAUUACCACAAUAAUGACAUAUCUCCCAAGUUUUGAAACAUCGGCUCAAGUUGCUCCCAGCUGUUCCACCGCAGCUCGUUUUCCUGCCAAUCACCACAUGGUGGUGGUGUAUCACCAUGAGUUCAGUGUUCGGGUCUGACUCCUGAGAGCUGAAUAGUUGGUUUAAGAAAGCUGGAUAUUUACAGCACAGCACAUUUACAAGGAUGCUUGUAGAGUGAACCCUCUAAAUCCAGUUUACCUUUGAAUUUAUAUGCAUUGCUUAACUGCUUUGCAUAGAGAACUGUCUGGCUUUCCAGUCAGGAAUCUCCCAGAGUAUUUCAAGCAACAUAUUUAUAACUCCAGGUGCAUCCACAUGCAGAAGGAUUUGAAGUCACAUGUGAUUUAUUUGUCCAUCUGCUUCAUCUCAACCUAUUUUGUUUCAUUUUGUUCUUGUUCUUGUUUUGUUUUGCUUUAAUAAUCCUUUGAUACUUAAUCAUCCAUUUCCUAUGGAAAAAAAAAAAAAAAAGUGCUCCCAAGAAUUCCAAUAGAGUCCAGGAAGGCUGAAUGCCUACUCUUCUGAAUUUGCUCCUAAAAGUCUUCUUCUGCAAAGCGUUUCAGCCACCCUUCACCAAAGUCAGGCAAUAAAAAGAAGGUGUACUGCAUUGCCAUUGUGUUUUUCAGCCCAUUCACAUUAUAGACCUUAAAUUAGCUAUUAUAUGUCCUUAGCUGAAUGUGGACAGUGACAGCCCAAUCGAAGACAGAGUGAAGUCAAUGGGAACCUUUCAGUUCUCCCUCAUUUGGCCCUGAAUCAAGUUCAAAGUUGUCUGAUUCAAGAAACAGAUCUUCUGUGUUUUUACAAAGAUGAUUUUUCUCCAGUAUGGAUAUAGGUUACAAAAAAAUUCCAUUAGGGCUUUGUGCACAAAAGAAGCUAUAUGUAACAAUGACAGCAUGUCUCAAACCAACAGAGAGAUUAGCUCUACUUUAAUUGGUUUGAAACAAGGGCACAUCAUCAACAGGGACGGGAGAACUGGCUUGGACUUAAUGAGAAAUGCAUCAUUUCCCACUCACAAACUUACUGCAGACUUACCCUGAACUUUCUAAAUCAAAACUGUUUUAAUAAACUUUUUUGUUGCAUUGC